AGCGGACGCUGGCGGCAGGCCUAACACAUGCAAGUCGAACGAACUCUUCGGAGUUAGUGGCGGACGGGUGAGUAACACGUGGGAACGUGCCUUUAGGUUCGGAAUAACUCAGGGAAACUUGUGCUAAUACCGAAUGUGCCCUUCGGGGGAAAGAUUUAUCGCCUUUAGAGCGGCCCGCGUCCGAUUAGCUAGUUGGUGAGGUAAAGGCUCACCAAGGCGACGAUCAGUAGCUGGUCUGAGAGGAUGAUCAGCCACAUUGGGACCGAGACACGGCCCAAACUCCUACGGGAGGCAGCAGUGGGGAAUCUUGCGCAAUGGGCGAAAGCCUGACGCAGCCAUGCCGCGUGAAUGAUGAAGGUCUUAGGAUUGUAAAAUUCUUUCACCGGGGACGAUAAUGACGGUACCCGGAGAAGAAGCCCCGGCUAACUUCGUGCCAGCCGCCGCCGUAA
This 449-nucleotide ribosomal RNA is filed under the name uncultured bacterium. RNAcentral's name for it is "partial 16S ribosomal RNA". It matches the Rfam family "Bacterial small subunit ribosomal RNA", at positions 29 to 523 of the family's 1533-position model. The record is from RNAcentral.